CGGACGGGUGAGUAAUGUCUGGGGAAACUGCCCCGAUGGAGGGGGAUAACUACUGGAAACGGUAGCUAAUACCGCAUAACGUCGCAAGACCAAAGAGGGGGACCUUCGGGCCUCUUGCCAUCGGAUGUGCCCAGAUGGGAUUAGCUAGUAGGUGGGGUAACGGCUCACCUAGGCGACGAUCCCUAGCUGGUCUGAGAGGAUGACCAGCCACACUGGGACUGAGACACGGCCCAG
This 234-nucleotide ribosomal RNA is filed under the name uncultured bacterium. RNAcentral's name for it is "partial 16S ribosomal RNA". It matches the Rfam family "Bacterial small subunit ribosomal RNA", at positions 99 to 334 of the family's 1533-position model. The record is from RNAcentral.